CCGCCACUAGCUCAUCCGGGCAGAGCAUUAUUUUUCUAAGCUGAUGGUGUGAGGUUCAAGUCCUCUCUUGCGGGCUA
This 77-nucleotide transfer RNA is filed under the name Salmonella enterica subsp. enterica serovar Rubislaw. RNAcentral's name for it is "tRNA-Arg". RNAcentral also lists the same sequence under 2 other names. The record is from RNAcentral. Lineage: Bacteria; Pseudomonadati; Pseudomonadota; Gammaproteobacteria; Enterobacterales; Enterobacteriaceae.